AACGCACCUUGCACUCCGUGGUUUACCACGGAGUACGCCCGUUCGAGUGUCACGUUAACCAUCGCCAAAGUGAGUUUUCUCACUGAAGCGGAUCUGGGCGCUGCCGUAGUUCGGCUCGCCUCAAAUGCAUUAGCGAGGGUGGAAGCACCUAACGGCGUGAUAAUGUCUCGUCCUCAAAGUGUGGAAGCUCUGCUUCGAAUCGUCCGGCGUAUCUGGACAUCAUUACAAGUUUUGACCUCGAAUCGGGUGGGACUACCCGCUGAACUUAA
RNAcentral lists this unclassified non-coding RNA (269 nucleotides) under uncultured fungus. Its description in RNAcentral is "partial contains 5.8S ribosomal RNA, internal transcribed spacer 2, and large subunit ribosomal RNA". Lineage: Eukaryota; Fungi. The record is from RNAcentral.